AUCGAUUAGAAGAACAAAGGACUCCGUAUUGACUUUUAUCACAACUUUAAGCAAGUAAUUAAGAGUAAAUUCGAAAGCUGUUAUCGAAUCAUUACUAAUCAUCGUGGUCUAACAGAUCCAAAUUGGAAAAUCAAAUUACAAAUUACGAAAGACUCGUAUUCCGAAUUUCGAAUUAGGCGUUCGUUAUAAAAGCAUAUUAAACGAUACAAUUAUGGUGUACACUAAUAUUGAUGGGUCAUUGAUGGGCCCUUAUCAAGAAAUCAAGAAGGGUAACGACGAUCAUAAAUUGGAUGGAUCCAAAAAACAAACUCAACAUCAGCAAAAUAUAUAUACGAAAAAUGAUAAAAAAUAUGGUGCUUGGGGACCAAUUUAUAAAAAUAAGGAUAAUUUCGUUAACAUGCAUAUUUGUUAAUCCUUAUAUAUAUAUAUAUAUAUCAUAUAUGUUUUUAAUUCAUCUUAUUGUAACAAAAUUGAUGAUUACUUAAAAUUCAAAGUUUUUCAUAAUCCUUAAGUAUACUUAUAAGUUAUACUUAUUAUUAACAUAAUAUGAUUAUAUUGGUAUAAAUAAUACUGUAACACUUACAUUAUAUAAAUUCUUUUUAUAAAGAGGAAAAAUAAAUUGGUUUAUGAUAUGAUUAAUAA
Molecule: long non-coding RNA, 642 nt
Organism: Vespula pensylvanica (western yellowjacket)
Lineage: Eukaryota; Metazoa; Arthropoda; Insecta; Hymenoptera; Vespidae
Exons: 2
Source: RefSeq, a predicted model, not a curated record